CUCGGAAGCCAAGAAGCAGUAGGAGGGGAUGAAAAUCAUGCAGGGCAGUGGGUGCGAGAGUGGAGCGGUGACUGUCGGUGUUAACUCCGUCUCUGUGCGUCGAGUGGGGCCGAUGUGGAUGGGAUGAAAGAGUGAGGCAGGGCUGAGGGCAAGAUUUCCAGCACCCAUCGAGCUUUGUGGAGUGAUGGCUCAUGCUUGGCUUUUGCAGCUGCUUUCGCAGAGGAAUUGUCCAGGAGCCCUAGCCGGAGGAGAAUAUGGCAGGAGUGGACCUGAGCAGCUUGGACAUCCUUCUAAGCAGACGUGAAGAGUCGUCAGCUUUCUGCCUCCCGCAUAACUGGCUGUGAGUAAGCGUACGAAGGAAAAAGAAGUCAAGCCUCAGAGUCUACUGCCCUCAUGCGAUGGAAAGUGAGUGAGAGCAGCGAGCUUGUGACCGUUGGUGAUGCCAGGCAAGAGCCCUCCAUCUGGGAGCCGAGCAAGCGCCAGUCUUGGUGAGAUAAGUGUCUGGUUUGGUGAAGGCUCUCUUCACGCCCCACCUGAGUCCAGGUAGAAAAGCCCUGUAAAUUAGGGUUCGGUUUGUAAGAAAAGGUUCCUGAUCAGCUGUGGUUACGAGGGAGAAAAGGUCCCAUUUUCAGAAGCUGCUCAUUUCUCUGGUCAAGAACGGUGUCUCCUCCACAGCAGAAGGUUGGAUCCAAGAGGAUGACUCCAGGUGCAAAGAGUGUUCGGCGUCAGCAUUCUUGCCCUGCCCUCAGUCUGCCAACUGGCUUGGUUGACAACGGCUGGUGAGCCAAGGAGCUGCUGAGAGACGCGGACCAUCCCUCUGUCAACAACUUCUUGAAUCAGCUAUUUGCACAGGUGUUUGAGGAACAAAAGGAUGAGUUUUUACAGAAGGUAAUUCCCAGAUUCUUUCCCUGCUCAUUAGAUCGCACACGACAGGUCGGUGCCUCCUUCUCCUCGGGACGGGUGGGGGCUGGUGUGGCAACAGGCAGGUCUCAGCGCUCCGUUUUGAUUUGAAUGUGGCCAUCUCUCAGGUCUCCUCCUGCUUCAGCCUGUCAGGUUCUUUGGAGGCAGAUUUAGAUGAUUUUAUCUUUCAGCAGACUAGUCGGGGGGAAUUUCCAGGGAUAGAACCAAAAGGGAAGAUAACAAAACUCGUGUAGAAGUUAGAUUGAUAUCUCCAUCAAUAGUAUUUCCCUUGGAGUUGCCCCUAAUGCACUCCUUGCCUUCAAGUUGGGAAUAGAAACCCUUUGUCUCCUGUCAUGACUGCCAAAGAAAUGUGUAUUGAGAGAAUAUCGAUCUCAGAAUUUACAUGAUUGAAAUGCACAUAAAUGAGCUCAAAUAAUGCAGAAGAAAUGAAUCUUAAGAUAUUGAAAGUGAUACAGCUCCACUCCCAUCCCCUGGCUGUCAUC
Chelonia mydas (Green sea turtle) is the source of this 1403-nucleotide long non-coding RNA. RefSeq lists it as uncharacterized. The record is from RefSeq and is a predicted model, not a curated record. The transcript has 3 exons. Lineage: Eukaryota; Metazoa; Chordata; Testudines; Cheloniidae.